Molecule: long non-coding RNA, 2118 nt
Filed under: Homo sapiens (human)
Lineage: Eukaryota; Metazoa; Chordata; Mammalia; Primates; Hominidae
Description: HSALNT0274705
Source: RNAcentral
CCCCUGCCUGCCUGGGGCCACCUCCCUCCACUCCUCUGCAGCUUCUCUGCAUUGCUUCUUCUCCUUCACCUUUUUUGGUUGAUUUUCAUCUUGUACCCUUGGCAUUUUUGGUUGAGUGACAGAUGUUCAUAGGACAGGUCUCAGGCCACCAGUGGUGCCGUCUCCAGGGAGCCGAGUGGCGCUCGCUCCUGUGGUCACCCAGGGAGGGAGGCCCUUGUGACCCAACUGCAGACUCUGGGAGGGUGGGGUCAGGCUGAUUCCCCUUCAGGGUUCCCACCAACAGCUGAGGGGCUUCUCGGGGCCCCUUUGUUUCCUUUGGCCCCAUGAGUGCUGAGAGCUGAGUCCGGCUCCCAUGGCUCAGCUCAGCUUUUGCUUCCCCAGUUAUUGGUCAGCCCGGAUCCACGCCGCCCCAAGCAUCAGCCCAUCAUCCUUACUUUCCCCGUCUUUCAGACCUUGGCCCCCAAAAUUGUCACUGCUUUAGGAGUUCUUCAUUGAUUUCGAACAGACAUUUUAAGAUAGUUUUUUCUAGCUUGUGUUGUGUUUUUAAUGGGAGAGUUGGUCAGCGUCUGCUGGAACAGAGCUACGCCUAUGGAACCGUAGACUUGUUCGUGCUUUAUUGUAAGUUUCAGUCGCUCCUGUGUGCAUGUGUGCAUGUGCCUGGUGUGUGUGUCUUUGCAUGUGUGUGCUCACAUCUACAUGUGCGUCUGCACAUGUGCAUCUGUGCAUGUGUCCGUCUGUCUGCAUGUAUCUGUGCAUGUGUGUGCACAUGUGCAUGUGUGUGAUCUGAGGCAUCUUCCCAUGACUGCUGCUUUCUGCUCCAGUUGCUCCUGGCUGAGCAUCAGUGCAGCAUCAGUGCACCCCCUCAGCACCUGGACACCACUCCAGAGACUUCUGAGCAGAGGCUGACAGCGCAGGGGGGCUUACUAGCUGCCUUUCAUGCUGGCCGUGGUGGGUGAGCUGUCCAGCUCUCCUCUCCCAGAUCUUCCAGGGGCCAGCAGGCUUCCACUAACCACAGGGCCUGGGGGCACUUCAGUCUACCAGGGCAGAUGCUUGCCAGGCCCAUGGGGACCAGCAGGCUCCCGCAGGCCCUCCCAAAGCCACAUGCAGCAGUGCGGCUGGCAAGCCCCACUUGGGGGAGACCCUGCUGUUGCCGGCCAGGCCUGUGGGACAAGUACAGUCUGACAUCUUUGCCGAUGGCCUGGAGAUGAGCACCCCCUGCUCUCUCCUCGAUGUUGCAGCAGAACCCACGCGUAGAGAGGGUUGGGGCGAGCAGUCCAGGCAGACCCCCGGGAUUUUCCUGCCGUAUUGCACAAGCAUUCAUGCGUUCAUUUAAUCUUGCUUUUUUAGGCAAUACUUUAAAGACACAAAGUCUCAACAACCAUCUUCCGCUUGACGAGACAGAUCAUUCUAAUUUGAGCAGAAGCUACUAUGUCCUGCCCUUUGAACGCGGCGGCCCGGACAGCUGACAAGGACACACUGUGUAUUUCCAUUCCAAUUCUGGGAGUGCUCUGAGGCCUCUGGGGGAGAAGGACCCAUGAAAUAUUCAAAACAUAAGUGAAUAAAAUAUCUAGGUGCUAGAUAUGGGCCAGGAAGAGCCCUCGGCCCUGCAAAGUGUGUGUGAUGGUGAGAAGCUACCGGAAGAGAUGGUCCCUGUGCUUGGUUCAUUCCUUGGACAUUUAUCAAGCUGACGAAUGUAGCAGAGGUGCUUCAGUCGGCUGUAAUUCCACGGGUGGAGUGCUGGCUGGAGAGUUACCUGGGGCUGUCACACUGCAUGGGCUCCGGGACACUGUGGCUGCCCUUAUGUGGUGUCCCCGGAGGGCCCUGCAGGUGUCACACCGCUGCUCCACACUGCCACCUGCUGUCAGCAUCUGUGCAACGUAUCCAGGUCUCUGGGGGCCAGAUGAAAAACAGAGCAGCCCCGGGGGGGCAGGGCGGGGCGCCAGGAGGGCUCGUUGAUGUCCAGAGUUCUGCUUCUCUGCCAGGCGUUGUGGUAACUUGCUAGCCAUCCCCUUCUGCUCUGUGCACUUCUCUGUAUGUAACACUGUAACGAAAGUUAAAGAAUAAAGAGUGCAGACAGGCCGGCCGCGGUGGCUCACGCCUGUAAUCCCAGCACUUUGG